GACGAACGCUGGCGGCGUGCUUAACACAUGCAAGUCGAACGCUGAAGCUCAGCUUUUGUUGGGUGGAUGAGUGGCGAACGGGUGAGUAACACGUGAGUAACCUGCCCCCUUCUUUGGGAUAACGCCCGGAAACGGGUGCUAAUACUGGAUAUUCACUGGUCUUCGCAUGGGGGUUGGUGGAAAGGGUUUUUCUGGUGGGGGAUGGGCUCGCGGCCUAUCAGCUUGUUGGUGGGAUGAUGGCCUACCAAGGCUUUGACGGGUAGCCGGCCUGAGAGGGUGACCGGUCACAUUGGGACUGAGAUACGGCCCAGACUCCUACGGGAGGCAGCAGUGGGGAAUAUUGCACAAUGGGCGAAAGCGUGAUGCAGCGGCGCCGCGUGAGGGGUGGAGGCCUUCGGGUUGUGAACCUCUUUCGCUCAUGGUCAAGCCGCAACAAUGGUUGUGGUGAGGGUAGUGGGUAAAGAAGCGCCGGCUAACUACGUG
Molecule: ribosomal RNA, 483 nt
Filed under: uncultured bacterium
Lineage: Bacteria
Description: partial 16S ribosomal RNA
Rfam family: Bacterial small subunit ribosomal RNA
Source: RNAcentral